GACGAACGCUGGCGGCGUGCCUAAUACAUGCAAGUCGAACGCACGAAGUUGAAGAGCUUGCUCUUUAACCAAUUGAGUGGCGGACGGGUGAGUAACACGUGGGUAACCUGCCCAUUAGAGGGGGAUAACAUUCGGAAACGGAUGCUAAUACCGCAUAGUUUCAGGAAUCGCAUGAUUCUUGAAGGAAAGGUGGCUUCGGCUACCACCAAUGGAUGGACCCGCGGCGUAUUAGCUAGUUGGUGAGGUAAUGGCUCACCAAGGCAAUGAUACGUAGCCGACCUGAGAGGGUGAUCGGCCACACUGGGACUGAGACACGGCCCAGACUCCUACGGGAGGCAGCAGUAGGGAAUCUUCCGCAAUGGACGAAAGUCUGACGGAGCAACGCCGCGUGAGUGAAGAAGGUUUUCGGAUCGUAAAACUCUGUUGUUAAAGAAGAACAAGGAUGAGAGUAACUGCUCAUCCCCUGACGGUAUUUAACCAGAAAGCCACGGCUAACUACGUGCCAGCAGCCGCGGUAAUACGUAGGUGGCAAGCGUUGUCCGGAUUUAUUGGGCGUAAAGCGAGCGCAGGCGGUUCUUUAAGUCUGAUGUGAAAGCCCCCGGCUCAACCGGGGAGGGUCAUUGGAAACUGGAGAACUUGAGUGCAGAAGAGGAGAGUGGAAUUCCACGUGUAGCGGUGAAAUGCGUAGAUAUGUGGAGGAACACCAGUGGCGAAGGCGACUCUCUGGUCUGUAACUGACGCUGAGGCUCGAAAGCGUGGGGAGCAAACAGG
Molecule: ribosomal RNA, 771 nt
Filed under: uncultured Vagococcus sp.
Lineage: Bacteria; Bacillati; Bacillota; Bacilli; Lactobacillales; Enterococcaceae
Description: bacterial SSU rRNA
Rfam family: Bacterial small subunit ribosomal RNA
Source: RNAcentral